RNAcentral lists this ribosomal RNA (496 nucleotides) under uncultured bacterium. Its description in RNAcentral is "partial 16S ribosomal RNA". It matches the Rfam family "Bacterial small subunit ribosomal RNA", at positions 28 to 507 of the family's 1533-position model. The record is from RNAcentral.
GAUGAACGCUGGCGGCGUGCCUAAUACAUGCAAGUCGAGCGAACAGACGAGGAGCUUGCUCCUCUGACGUUAGCGGCGGACGGGUGAGUAACACGUGGAUAACCUACCUAUAAGACUGGGAUAACUUCGGGAAACCGGAGCUAAUACCGGAUAAUAUAUUGAACCGCAUGGUUCAAUAGUGAAAGACGGUUUGCUGUUACCUAUAGAUGGAUCCGCGCCGCAUUAGCUAGUUGGUAAGGUAACGGCUUACCAAGGCAACGAUGCGUAGCCGACCUGAGAGGGUGAUCGGCCACACUGGAACUGAGACACGGUCCAGACUCCUACGGGAGGCAGCAGUAGGGAAUCUUCCGCAAUGGGCGAAAGCCUGACGGAGCAACGCCGCGUGAGUGAUGAAGGUCUUCGGAUCGUAAAACUCUGUUAUUAGGGAAGAACAAAUGUGUAAGUAACUAUGCACGUCUUGACGGUACCUAAUCAGAAAGCCACGGCUAACUACGUG